CGGACGGGUGAGUAACGCGUGGGUAACCUGCCUUGUACAGGGGGAUAACAGUCAGAAAUGACUGCUAAUACCGCAUAAGCGCACAGGACCGCAUGGUCCGGUGUGAAAAACUCCGGUGGUAUAAGAUGGACCCGCGUUGGAUUAGCUAGUUGGUGGGGUAAUGGCCUACCAAGGCGACGAUCCAUAGCCGGCCUGAGAGGGUGAACGGCCACAUUGGGACUGAGACACGGCCCAG
Molecule: ribosomal RNA, 235 nt
Filed under: uncultured bacterium
Lineage: Bacteria
Description: partial 16S ribosomal RNA
Rfam family: Bacterial small subunit ribosomal RNA
Source: RNAcentral